Bradysia coprophila is the source of this 2559-nucleotide long non-coding RNA. Lineage: Eukaryota; Metazoa; Arthropoda; Insecta; Diptera; Sciaridae. The record is from RefSeq and is a predicted model, not a curated record.
ACUAUUGUUCUUUCAAAGAAAAACAUUUUUUGAAAGGACAAUAGGUGUCCGACAUAUCCGGAAACUGGUGCCGCCACAAAAUAAGAUUCUAUCCAAACAGAUCUCCUAAGUUAAAAAUGGGCGACGAUUCUCGUGGUUCUGUAACUCCAAAUAUUCGUACCUUGAUUCGUAGCCUCGAUUCUCAUACAUUUGUAACUUUAAGAAUUCGUAAUUUGACAGUUCUAAUGACAUUUUAUGCACGUAACUGUCAAGUUACGAAUAUUUCUAGUUAACAAUAAGAGAAUCGUCGCCCAGUUCCGUGUAUAAAGUCCUAUAAAGAAUUGGUACGAAUUCUUAAAACUUCGCUACGAGAAUCUACGCCCUGGGCGCUAGUUCCAGUGAGUCUAACAAUUCAAAACUUGACAGCUGUCACUUUAUUACUAAGAGUGGUUCAUACGAUUCGUAACUUUUGGGGUGACAACACUGUCAAGUUUUCUAAUUCUUCAAUUUAUAAGAAUCGCCGCCCUGAGCAUAAUUCAGUAAAUAUACAAAAGAAAAGAACGGAAAUUGGACUGAGUUAAACCAAUGAUUUACAGAUUUUAAGCGUUACAUUAUCCAUCCUCUCAUUCUACAUCCAUACGUAAAUCCUCGUCUUGCAGCCCUCGCACCUCGUCCAAACAAUCCAUAUACAUGUAUGACUUAACUCAGUUCGUGUUCAUUUAAAUUCAAAUUCGGAUUUUUGAAUUAAUCCGAUUUUCGAUUUUAUUUCGAUAUUCUAAAGCAAAAUAAAAUUACAAAACAAAAAACAAGCAAUGAAAGCAAUGAUGGCCUGUGUAAAGGAAGUAAACGACGACGUAUUUUAAACAGUACAUUAAUAAUGGUUGUGUUCAGUGAGAUAAGAUUUUUCUUUUUGUAAAAUGAUAUUUCGACUAAUUUUAAGUGUAAAUUUAAGAAAUUGUAAUUGUUAAGACCAGCGGCAACUUUUUUUUUAAUUUAAUUUGAUUUAUAAACGCGUUUUUCGGAGAGUAACGGCUCUAUUAGGUUGGUUCGAAUUUUACAUUUCAAUUUUAAUUUUGAAACGCCUGACCCCUGGGUGCAUUUAGGAUGGUCCAGAGAAUCUUUUGUGGAAGAAACGUUUUUCUUUAAAUUUGGUGUUUCCUUUCUGUAUUCUGUCGAUGGUUAAGUUGACAGCAGGUCAGUUCACAAGAAAAAAUCAGGAGGGAACCAGAAAAAUCGUCUGAAUUCCCUGCAGUUCUAUAGUUCUCGGAUAGGGAGGAUAGUAAACCAUGAAGACGUCAUCUGUUUUUAGGAACUGACCUCUGAUGACUUCGAAAAACCAAAAACCUUUGAAAUGUCUAGUGUCUAGAGCAACAAAGUAAAAGAAACGUCCAGGCCUCGACAUUAUUUUGGAUGUGUAACUCCAUACGCAGUCACAAAAAAAAUUUCAUCGACGAACAGUUGUUUGUCACAUGAAAAAGCUUUCGUAAAAGUCAAUUGCAAUUUUCCUGAGGAAAGUCGUCAGAAAACAUCCCAAAAAUGGAAAUUUCCAAAUCCGUGAACAGAAUUCAAGGAGUGGGGAAGUAGUGAUGAAAUGUCUGUGCAAGAAACACUAGAACUAGUAUCCCAAAUUAUAGUCUUCGUGCGUUUCAUUGAUCUAGAGAGAACUUAAAAUCCCUAUUAGAACAACCAGGACUUUUCCAGGACAUAUAUCAGGCUCUUGAACAUGGAUCAUGAAAUCCCACCAAAAAAAGUUCUUCCAUGAAAUAACGGUGAUGAGCCAUACUUUCCAGAACGUGCGUCAAUUUUAUCCGUAAUUCCACACUUUUUGUCGAAAAGCCAUAGUCGGGAAUGACGUUCAUUGUCCCACCACACCAGAGACCUCGAACUCCAACCUACUCCGUGCCAUUUAAAAGCUACUCUAUUCAGUUCUAUUAAUUCUAGUCGAUGGUAACCGCAAUCAUGUCAGAGAAAUCAUUCAGCGAUAAAUGCAAUCUGACUACUACCUCGAUCCGAAAAUCAAAAAAUCGCUCUUGACGCAUGGGAAAAACAAAUUUAAAGGAAAAUGUUUCUUCCGUAAAAGAUUCUCUGGACAAUCAUGACUGCAACCAGGGGUUAAGCGUUUUAAAAUUGAAUUGUAAAAAUUCGGCCCAACCUACAGUUUAGUCGAGUGCGAGUGGUCCGGUUCGUUUUGUUCGUUAUAAAAAGUUUUGAUUUUGUUGUGGAUGUGUGCUAAGAUUGUAGACUGAUAGGAAUAGAACACACCGUAUUGUCAUGUUAUAAAAUGUUGACGUCAGGUUGUAUCAUUCAAAAUUGGCCCUCACACUCGACUAAUUUUUCUGAUUACAAAAAUGCAACUCAAACAUCACAUUGUACACUUUUAAGCGGUCGCAGCCGGUGAAUAAAAUCACCGAAAAAUUGGCCGCAUUUAUUCCCCCCGCCCUCCUUUAUUUUCGUUAAAUGAAGACUGAUUCGAUUCGAUUAAUUUUAAUUUGUAGUGUUCUAAGAGACGGUACAGAUUUUUGAUUUAUUUACGUAAGCAUUUUCUUUGUCAAACCCAGAGCCGUUAACAAAGAUUUUUUU